Molecule: unclassified non-coding RNA, 811 nt
Filed under: Hevea brasiliensis (rubber tree)
Lineage: Eukaryota; Viridiplantae; Streptophyta; Magnoliopsida; Malpighiales; Euphorbiaceae
Source: RNAcentral
GAAAUUCUCACCCCAGAGCCUCUCCAUCAUCUUUGACUCAUCAACUUUAAAUUUUUCUGCAUACAUCUUAGCAAAGUUGGUUAGUGUGAAAGCCCAGCCAUGUAAACCGGCCGAGAAAGCCACAGUUCCUUUCUCCGGAUAGACCUGAACGUCACCAAGAAGUGGAUCUUCAUAAGUGGCCAUAAUGACAUUAGCAUUCUCAAUAACCCUUUGGAAUGUCUGAUAUGCUUCCUCACCAUCCACCUGAAGCUCCAAGAAGCAGCGAUCCAUCUUAUUUACAGUCAACACAGGUCUAAUCCUCUCUCCAAGUGCUUGUCGAAGAACAGUUUCAGUCUGAACACAAACACCCUCAAUACAAUCGACAACAACCAAGGCACCAUCAGUAAUACGCAGGGCCGCUGUGACCUCUGAUGAGAAAUCAACGUGCCCGGGUGAGUCGAUCAAGUUGAUGAGAUACUCAUUUCCAGCUCUAUCACCCUUGAAGCUUUUCAAGGACUCAUCGGUCAUCUCAUAAUAAAGAGAGAUUCCAGUAGACUUAAUGGUGAUGCCUCGCUCUGCUUCAUCUGCACGAGUAUCAGUCAUCCUAACAUCCCCAGCAACUUCCUGGGCAAUAAUCCCAGCAGCCGCAACAAGAGAGUCAGUGAGGGUGGAUUUUCCAUGAUCAACAUGGGCAAUAACAGACAUGUUCCUAAUAUUAUGUUUCAUGUCCAUAAUCCUGCGAAGCUCCUCAGCAGUGAACUUCACCAUCUUGACGGCUUCUGAGGAACAGGAAUGAGAGCCUCGGCCGCCGGAUGAGGAGAGCGGGAUCGGC